UUCUAAUAGGCCUUAAAAUAUAGGUGUACAUUAAGGGAUAAUUAUAGUACUUUCGUUACUACUACACUGUAUAUUUAAUAAUUAAAAAUUAUUUAAUCUCAGGAAUAACUCUGUGAGGGUUAUUAUUCCAUUUUCUAAAUAAAUGAACUGUUUUAGAGAUGUUUAGUAACUUGCCAAGCUCACACACAUACUUAGUGGGUGAACAAGUAACUGCUUCAAGAAUUUCAUCAAUGCAUUAAAGUUAUAUUUUUGACCAUUUGGUAUGUGCUAGUCAUGCUAAGCACUAGACAUAGUAUAGUGACCAAAACUGACCAGGCCCUGUCCUUACAAAUCUUGCAGAUUUUAAGUUACUUGAUGGAGUCUCUUUGAAAUCUACAAGAUUAGAAGUAGAUCAUAAAGAUGCAGAGAUAUAUUUCAGAGUCACUGUGGUUAUUGGAUAGACCAGGAAGCCUUUUUAAUCAAAGAGAAAGAUAGAAUCAUACCUAGCUUGAAUGUACUGCUAUAUUAAAAUAUUUAUUUAGGUAAACUCAUAGAAGCCAAGGAUGAAGCAUGACUUCCUUCUCUAACUCUUAACAGUUAAAUCAUAAAAUCAACACUAAAAAAGCAACACGAGCUGAACUGUUUUCCAGAUAAGAAUCAGAAAGAGUAAGGAAAACAUGAAUAUAUGAAUGUCAAAAUUUUCCGCUGAUUAAAUGAUAUUAAAAUAUCUAAGCAAGAAAGUGCCAAUCAGUAAUGACAGAAGAAAAUUCCAUUAAAGUCUCUCUCAGAAAUGUGAAGAAUUUUGUUGUCAGCUAAUUCAUGCUGAUGCACAUAUCUUGGAUCCAGAAAUAUAAAUGAUGAUGGUACUGUUACUGUGUAUGGCUGGAUCACCAAAAAGUAAUAUACACUUAGGACUUGAAGAUUGGCCAAAUCUUCUGAUAACUAUUCGUCCAGUAAAUACAGAGAGGUGGAAUUAACAAUGCCUAGUCAGUCUGGGCAGCAGAAUAUCUCAUACAGCUAUAUGAGGUUUCAUGCCACCACAAAGAGGUACCCUCUUGUAAAAAGAUGAAAAAUACAAAGAAGCCACCCACGUUGGUUUUCAUGAAGGAAAAAUUUGGUGUCUAGUUUUACCACCAAGUGCUUGUCAAAUAAACUUCAUAUGAAAUCAAGACUGAAUACAGUAAACAGGAAAUUUGGAUAAAAGCUAUAGUGAACAAAUAUUCCUUUUUAUUUUUAUCCCUAUUCUUAUUUGGGACAGACCUCUGGAAUAGGGUUGGGGGACUGAAUGCAAAUUUGAUGACACAGAGCUGGAGCAAAGUGAAUAAGGUCUCAAUACUUUUUGAAGAUGCUCCAGCUCUUAUUUGAGUAAAAGCAAAUUUUAUUAAUAGAUCCUCCUUCAAAGAGUCCGUCUAUUUUAACUUGCAUCAGUAAAUUAUAAAACUGGGCACCCAAAGUCAUUACAUGGACACAACUAUUAAGUUUAGUUUUCUUUGUUAGAAUAUUCCAGACAUUAAAAAGAAACUUCCUAGACUGAUAAAAUAGCUUUUUAAUAUUUCUUUGAAAAUCAUUCCUUUCCCCCCUUACCUUGACUUUUCUGCCCUUUCUCUAGAAUUAUCCUGACUUUCUCUGUUAUAUUUCAAGGAAGCUUCAGAGGUUACCUGCCACAUCUUUUGCUUUAGUCACUUUUUCAAAUAACUUUUAUUAUAUUAAACUAU
Mustela putorius furo (domestic ferret) is the source of this 1694-nucleotide long non-coding RNA. The record is from Ensembl. NCBI's taxonomy places the organism in Eukaryota, Metazoa, Chordata, Mammalia, Carnivora, Mustelidae.